CCCCAAGCGGCGGCGCGGAGGAGCUCAGCCUCGGUCUCGCGAAAUGGAGCGAGACUACGGAAGCCGGAAGCACUGGGUUAAGCAUUUCCUGAGCUAAGGGCUGCCUACGGCUCCGAGGCCCUGGAAAUGUAAAGAUGAAAAAUACUCCUGAUUCUUGAAUGAUGCACAAUCCAAUAGAAGAUUAGACAUAAGAAGAAAUGUGACACAUGCAUGAAAGAACAUAAUAACACAGAUGCUUUUACAAGGAGAAUCUUCUGGCUAAAGGUUAGGGGGAUGUAGCAAUUCAUGAAUUCAAAGGAGUGAGAAUCACUUCAAACUAUAAAGAUUGAGCAAGGUUUUAUUUAAGAAGAGUCAGGAUGUUAACUGGAUCUCAAAGGGCUUGGGAGAGGAAAGAAGACAGAAAAAAGUAAGGAAAAUGCAACCCAGGGUCAGCGGCAGUAAGCAGAACACCUUGGCUGAAGUAUGAAUUUGAGGAAGGAUUAUAUUGUGAACCGUACCUCAUAUGUCCUAGAGGUACUCUUUUGGUGUUCUGGGAUCCAAAUGUCUAGUGUUUGGAGAAGGGAGUUCCCUACACCUUCAACAGGCAAUACUCAGACACUGCAAGUAGCUAUCUCCUGAAUCACUGCCCAGUUGCCAGCUGCAAGUCCUAGCUCCACAGACAUAAAUGUCCACAGCACAAAGCCAAAAGAAUCUCUUAAGGGUGAUGCUGUCAGGCAAUAGCAGAAGGAGUUGGUGUUCUGGAGUCAGACACAGUUCACACAAGCUUUGAGAUUAAUUUCAUUGACACAAAGAGAGAAGGCAUUGCUGACUGCCAACAGGAUGAAAGGCUUUGCAUAGCUACAUUAUUCAGAAACCAAGGUUUUAUGUCUUUCCCAAUUUCCAUAGUGAGGCUGUUACUGGAAGAAGGCAUCACAGGACACCACUGGAAUCUUAUCUGGAAGAUUUACCAAAUCUUGGAGAAAGUGGAACAGGAGUCAAAGAUACAAACUCAACUCAGACUGGUCAAGUAACUGGGAACUUACUGGCUCUCGUAGAUGAGAAGUCUACAACAGAGCAGAUAAGUACUAAUUUUUGGACUAGGUGCCACUUUUCCAGUGAAUCCAGCAAAAGUCCCAAGAUUCACUCUAAUUAAACCAACUUUGUUUACAUACCUAUCCUUGAAUCACUGUUCCCAAAGAAGGGAAAAUACAGUUUUUCCCAGUCUUGGAGUUGGAGUUAAAGUCAUGUUUCUACUUCACUCCAUGCCCAAAAAUAAGUGAAUUGGGAAUAAAGAAAGGAUAUUUUCUAAAGGAUAAUCAAAGUGGCAUUACCAGAAGAAGGAAGGGAUAGCAGGCAAGCAAAAACAGAUGUUUAUCAUGCAUGAUAAAAAAUGUGAUGAAACAUAUUCUGUUGUUUCAUUCAUUCAUUCAAACAUUAAGAGAAUAAAAAAUAUUACAGCACAGUCUGCCUUCGAGGAAAUUAUAGCUUUUAAAUAAUAUCAAUACAUUAUUAUUAUGAUAUACUAGGUUCCACUAAAGGAAUACAAACAAAAUAAGCUAUGAAAAUACAUACUAGGUCCAUCAGUUAUAUUCGCAGAUGCCUUGGCUAUGAUUUUGUUAUUAAAUUUCACAUUAAUUCCCACCACUAACAUGCUAGUACACACGAGUUUGAAAAAAACAAAGACCUCACUCAUAAUUCUUGCUAAGGUGCAUAGCCUUACUUUAGGUAGGUCAUAAUAUAAUACAGAAUCAACAGCUGAGGUAGUGGUUUUUCAUGAUCUGCCACUGCUUGAUGCUUCUAGAAAAGAGUAAGCUGGCAGCAUCCACAUUGAGAAUGUGUUAACUUUGUAUACUACAAUUUACUUUUUGAUGUACAAUGCCACAACUACUAUUAAAUUUCAUACUAUGGCAGGCAGUUAUUUAUUAGAUAGGAAACUGCUCUCUUUAAAAAAUGUCUUUCACUUUUCCACCACUUUAGUAGCACUGCAGUUUAAUUGAAAAUUAGUCCAGUCAAUCUGCCGCGGGCUCCUGAGAAAUAAUUUGUGUGAAUAACUACCACCAAAAACUUCCCCAAGGAAAAGCUUUCAUCAGGACUGAGAACACUUUCUGAUGAUUCUAAUAAUUACCUUUCUUUGAGUUUCUGGCUUACCGAUAUGGUUGUCAUAAAGUGCUUUGCUGAUUUUCUUUCAUGCCUCUUGCCUUUAUAAAUCCCACAACAGAAGGAGAAAACUGGUCAGGACAUGAGUGUUUUUUAAGUACUGCUUUGCAUGAAGCGUUUAUUGAACAAACCCUGAAAAAUAUUCUUCUUGAAUGUAUUAGAACGUGGACCUAAUUCAUGCUUCUAAGUCCCUAAAGAAUUUUCUGUGAUAUGGUUGUUAUGGAUAAUGAUUCCACGAAACAUAACUAUUGCCAUGUGUCUUGAAGAUAUCUUAGUGAAACAAAUGUUAUUUAGUUUAAUUGUCCCUGAAAGCAGAGUCAGAAGUAAGAACCAGAGUUCAAGUAGUUUAUUUAGGAGGUGAUCUUAAGAAUCAGGAAUGAGGGAGUAGAGACAGUGAAACAGGAAAGAGAAAAAGUCAGUAUAAGAGUGUUUUGUCAAUGUCACUAUUGGGAGCAUUGGGAUCUCAAUUUUACUGGGAUUGUGAUACAUUUGCAAAAUACUUCCCAGAAUUUUCCAGCCAAAGGACAGGAAUCUGGGGCACUUAUCCACUGGCUCCUAUUCAGUACUCUGCAGGGUAGAAGUGGAGAGAGUGGGCAUCCUUGUCUUAUUCUUCAUCUUAGAGGAAAAACUUUCACCCUUUCACCAGUCAGUACAAUGUUAGCUGUGGACUUGUCAUAUAUGUCCUUUAUUAUGUUGACUGAUAUUCCCACUAAACCCACUUUGUUGAGAGUUUUUAUCAUAAACGGAAGUUGAAUUUUGUCAAAUUCUUUUUCUGCAUCUAUUGAGAUGAUCAUAUGAUUUUAUCCUUCAUUUUGUUAAUGUGGUAUGUAUCACAUUGAUUGAUUUGCACAUGUUGAGCCAACAUCGCAUCCUUUGAAUAAAUCCCGCUUGAUCAUUGUGUAUGACUCUUUAAAUUUAUUGUUGAAUUUGUUUACUGUUAUUUUGCUGAGAAAUUUCGCAUCUAGAUUCAUCAGGGAUAUUGGCAUAUAUAUUGGCAUGUAUAUAUAUAUUUUUUGUGGCAUCCUUGUCUGGUUUUGCAUCAGGGUAUUGCUUUUUCAAUGAGUUUGAAAAAGUUCUCUCCUCUUCUAUUUUUUCUUCUAUUUUGAAAAUUAUU
Molecule: long non-coding RNA, 3250 nt
Organism: Felis catus (domestic cat)
Lineage: Eukaryota; Metazoa; Chordata; Mammalia; Carnivora; Felidae
Exons: 10
Source: RefSeq, a predicted model, not a curated record